CAGUAGCCGCGGUAAUACAGAGGGUGCAAGCGUUAAUCGGAAUUACUGGGCGUAAAGCGCGCGUAGGUGGUUUGUUAAGUUGGAUGUGAAAGCCCCGGGCUCAACCUGGGAACUGCAUCCAAAACUGGCAAGCUAGAGUACGGUAGAGGGUGGUGGAAUUUCCUGUGUAGCGGUGAAAUGCGUAGAUAUAGGAAGGAACACCAGUGGCGAAGGCGACCACCUGGACUGAUACUGACACUGAGGUGCGAAAGCGUGGGGAGCAAACAGGAUUAGAUACCCCCGUAGUCCCUGUCUCUUAUAC
RNAcentral lists this ribosomal RNA (301 nucleotides) under uncultured bacterium. RNAcentral's name for it is "partial 16S ribosomal RNA". It matches the Rfam family "Bacterial small subunit ribosomal RNA", at positions 509 to 807 of the family's 1533-position model. The record is from RNAcentral.